This 497-nucleotide ribosomal RNA is filed under the name uncultured bacterium. RNAcentral describes it as "partial 16S ribosomal RNA". It matches the Rfam family "Bacterial small subunit ribosomal RNA", at positions 28 to 507 of the family's 1533-position model. The record is from RNAcentral.
GAUGAACGCUGGCGGCGUGCCUAAUACAUGCAAGUCGAGCGAACAGAUAAGGAGCUUGCUCCUUUGACGUUAGCGGCGGACGGGUGAGUAACACGUGGGUAACCUACCUAUAAGACUGGAAUAACUCCGGGAAACCGGGGCUAAUGCCGGAUAACAUUUAGAACCGCAUGGUUCGAAAGUGAAAGAUGGUUUUGCUAUCACUUAUAGAUGGACCCGCGCCGUAUUAGCUGGUUGGUAAGGUAACGGCUUACCAAGGCAACGAGUCGUAGCCGACCUGAGAGGGUGAUCGGCGGCACUGGAACUGAGACACGGUCCAGACUCCUACGGGAGGCAGCAGUAGGGAAUCUUCCGCAAUGGGCGAAAGCCUGACGCAGCAACGCCGCGUGAGUGAUGAAGGUCUUCGGAUCGUAAAACCCUGUUAUUAGGGAAGAACAAAUGUGUAAGUAACUGUGCACGUCUUGACGGUACCUAAUCAGAAAGCCACGGCUAACUACGUG